UAUAUAUAUAUAUAUAUAUACACACCUGUUCUAUUGUGUUAUAGUUCGCUCAUUCUUUGUCCCAUGACACCCUCUUGAAUUCUGUUAUGUUCUAUUAAGUUUAUACGAUGUAGUUUUGUAUCAUCCUGCACUUGUAUCUACAGUAACUCCGUUCUGUGGGUGUUAAUCAAGCCUUAGGUCCAAGCUAGACUGUUUAGGAGCUGUUCCGGAUCGGCGAGGGGACAGACUGUCUGUUUCACAUGCGAACCUCGAGUUCAUCCUUCUUGACCAUCUGGUCAUUCUCCUCCGCUGACCUUGUUAUAGGGAAAGUGAGAGAUUAAAAUCUGUUCUUAUCACACUUACCUAUUUUUCUAUUUCAACAUUUAUAAACAUAUAUAUUUCUGAAGAGCAAAACUUUUACCAAAAAUAUAUAUUCUAGGAUUUCAGACUACUCACCAAAAUUAAAGUUCAUGCACAAAGCACCCAAUCACAGAACUGUAUACAGUAGAUCGACUCUAUGCGGCUCUGCCCAAUCACUGCAGAGACCCGUGCAGUUUGACGAUUUCAGGAGCACAUUUCAGGCGCUAGCUAUUCAUUCACUGCACAGACAGUGAUGUCGGUUGUAAGUGUAUGAUGUUUAGUAUCUGAAAAUAAAUAUAAAUUUAACAUCAGCAAGUUUCCCUUUUAUUUUCAUAUUCAUUCCAGUUUUGUUUCUUUUAUCAUCCUAUUAUCACCUAUUCAUUUAGAUAACAUUAGUGUAGCUAGACUAGCAAGCUAGUACCAGAGACUGACUAUUUGUACACGAAACCCUUCCUAUUUUUCUUUCCUCAAGAAGUGUUUGAUUACUCGUACAGUUAUCUGUUCAUUUCAGUUCCAACAAUAAGUCAUUUUUUUAUAGAUAGUUAGACAGAAAGAGAAACUCUUAACUGUACUGAAACAUAAAUUCUGCCUCCUGACUCUUCUGCAAUUUUAAACCUACAGUAUCCGCUGCCCUCGCACGGUGAUUUGUCCAAUCAGAGCCCGGGCCACCACACGACUACACCAAUUGUAGUUCUGGAGUUAUUUGCAUUUUAACCCAACGAACCAAUCGGAGCGCAAGUUGGCGAUUAAUUAAGGGCCAAGGUGCCUAAUAGUAGCGCUAAGAAGCAGCAUAUUAUUAACAUGUUAUUACAGGAGGCGUUUUAAAUAUUGAUCCGGUAUUCUGUCGUAGUUACAAACUCACAGCCUUAAAACACAGACCUGUUAAACUCCACUGUUUAACCAGUGCAAACAAAUAAACAUAUAUAGCACUUCCUUAGACUGUUCACUGUUUUAGGAAAUAAGGCGAACAUAAAAGAUGAUGAAUCUGAUUGAAUUGAUUUGAUGUUUAUUUCCUUCUAUCUAGCUCAAAAGCACUCAGGCCAAAAAUGGCAUAAUUCCUUCAUCUGAAGUCACACUUCUGAGUUAAAUCGAAUGCAGCAAUAGAACUACAGUGUUGCCUUCAAGGGAAAGUGGGCGGAGUCAAACAGCUCUGUUCCAUAUAGAGGCGCUGCCUAUUUCAGUACAACAUUUACUUUUACCCCAGAAGUGACAGCUUGGUGGCCCUGGGAUUUGAACUCACAACCUUCCCAUCAGUCAUCCAACACCUUAACCAAGAGCUACCAUGUCCCCACGUCCCCACGUACAAAAAAGUAAACAGAAGCCUAAACUUGAAGAAAAAAAAAUUAUGAAUAUUGUGUGUGUGUCUCUUCCUUCAGUCACCUGAGGGAGUGGAGGGGAAAGACGCCACUAAAGUCACAAUGCAGAAACCGACUGCUCCUAAACCUGAGACCAAACCCAAAAAAGCUGCAGCUAAGUGUAACUCAGACAACGAUGGAUUCUUCUGAUAUCGAGGAUAACCGCAUGAUGACUUGGCUGUCUUAGGUAAAAGGAACAGGAAGCUGUGUGAGGAUAAUGAGAACUCCGGAGGGAAUUGAGCCCAGACCAGGACACGAGAGUGGAACAUGGAUCUGGAAAAUGACCAGAUGUCUGACAGAGACGAGAGCAGCCCCUCGCUUUAGGUCUGACAAGUGCUUCUGUUGUGCUACUCCAUUACAACACAGAGAGGCAAGGACAUGGAGAGUAUCAAGGAACGCUGUACACCAGACAGGGCAGAAACUGAAGGGAGCAAAAGCACGAAGGUUUGAGGAGACAGAGGAGAGAGCAGGAGGAAGAUAGAGCAUGUGGAAUGAUGGUGAAACAGAAGAGAGAGAAGGACGGUGUCAGAAAGAGAUUGGAAAAAAGGGAAAAAUGGAAAAGAAGAGAAUGUGAUGGGGCAGAAAGCAGGUGUGUCACUCUUCUAAUUCACUUA
This is a long non-coding RNA of Tachysurus fulvidraco (yellow catfish), 2308 nucleotides long. RefSeq lists it as uncharacterized. The transcript is spliced from 4 exons. NCBI's taxonomy places the organism in Eukaryota, Metazoa, Chordata, Actinopteri, Siluriformes, Bagridae. The record is from RefSeq and is a predicted model, not a curated record.